AGAAAUACAGAAGCAGCCCACAGCCCAGCGUGCAACACGCAGCAGAGCCGCAGCGACCGGAGCCCUCAAGCCCUCGCGGAGCACACUGCAAUGACCACUUAGUCCAUGCUAGUGGCGCAGCGACCUGUGACCUGCAUCCGCUGAUCCAUCCCAAGCAGAUCUUCCGACACGGCCUGUUUCAAAGCGGGAGGUACGCCGUCCUUCCUGAAGCUCACCCAGCCUUUGCAGCCCUCAUUUCUCUGAACUGGACAGACUUACAAGAACGAGCGUCCUGCGUCAGAAGCUGCUCAUGGAGGUCCCUGCAAGUGAUGCUUUCCGGAUGACGAUCUUGGUGGGAGAUGUGGACAUGUUUGCAGUGGAGGUCAGGGCCUCUCAGGUGCAAUCCUUAUCUAUUCACUGGAAGAUGGACAGUGAAGAGUGAAGGAACAAGGAUUUAUUUACAUGGGACAAGAACAACUUAAACACAGACUGGCCUCCUGGUGGCAACGGGCUUGCCAAUGGAGAGGACACAAGUUGCCUAUUCCUCAAGUCUAGCUUCAGAACCUGGUGGAUCUGUAAAUAGAAGUUUAUAUGGAGCCUUAUUGAUGCAUAAAGUGCAUUAAAAUAACGUGAAAUCAUGGAGACCAAUCAGAAGAGGCAGUGAACCCACCAAAAUUCAAAAGUUCUCCCCAAUGGCUACAUUUUCCUUGAUGCCAGAAUGACCUCCAGAUCGUAGUUUUCCAUUGCCAGAGAGAGUCCCUUCACUUCCAAACUGUCACUGGGGAGCCACCCUGAGGUGUCAAAAUGGGCACACAGACAGCCACACAAGCUUGUGGUUUGUCACCAAGGUGUUUAUGUGUAGUUGCCUGAUUUGGAGGUGGCUGGGUGGGGCUCCUUUCCCAUCCCAGCGGGGAGGAGUGAACGAACCUUCAUGCCCUAGAAACAUUGAGAAAAUAGUUAAUCUAGGAAUUAAAUUUUCAUGAGAACCCAGAGUUCUGCAGGAAGAGAUUAUGAGGAUUGGGUAUUUAUAUUAAGAUUCAUGAAUCAUGGAAAAUGUUAAUAAAAAUAAAAUUAAAAAAAAAGAUUCAUGAGACAUCCUGACUAAU
Molecule: long non-coding RNA, 1085 nt
Organism: Jaculus jaculus (lesser Egyptian jerboa)
Lineage: Eukaryota; Metazoa; Chordata; Mammalia; Rodentia; Dipodidae
Exons: 3
Source: RefSeq, a predicted model, not a curated record